CCUACGGGAGGCAGCAGUAGGGAAUCUUCCGCAAUGGACGAAAGUCUGACGGAGCAACGCCGCGUGAACGAAGAAGGUUUUCGGAUCGUAAAGUUCUGUUGUUAGGGAAGAACACGUACCAUUCGAAUAGGAUGGUACCUUGACGGUACCUAACGAGAAAGCCCCGGCUAACUACGUGCCAGCAGCCGCGGUAAU
Molecule: ribosomal RNA, 195 nt
Filed under: uncultured bacterium
Lineage: Bacteria
Description: partial 16S ribosomal RNA
Rfam family: Bacterial small subunit ribosomal RNA
Source: RNAcentral